ACACGACUACAUUAGAUACCCCGGUAGUCCUAGCCGUAAACGACACUCGCUAGGUGUCGGCCACGGUGCGACCGUUGUCGGUGCCGUAGGGAAGCCGUGAAGCGAGCCACCUGGGAAGUACGGCCGCAAGGCUGAAACUUAAAGGAAUUGGCGGGGGAGCACAACAACGGGUGGAGCUUGCGGUUUAAUUGGAUUCAACGCCGGAAAUCUUACCGGGACCGACAGCAACAUGAAGGCCAAGCUGAAGACUUUGCCGGAUUAGCUG
This 265-nucleotide ribosomal RNA is filed under the name uncultured archaeon. Its description in RNAcentral is "partial 16S ribosomal RNA". It matches the Rfam family "Archaeal small subunit ribosomal RNA", at positions 717 to 982 of the family's 1478-position model. The record is from RNAcentral.